Molecule: ribosomal RNA, 464 nt
Filed under: uncultured bacterium
Lineage: Bacteria
Description: bacterial SSU rRNA
Rfam family: Bacterial small subunit ribosomal RNA
Source: RNAcentral
CCCAGACUCCUACGGGAGGCAGCAGUGAGGAAUAUUGGUCAAUGGGCUUACGCCUGAACCAGCCAAGCCGCGUGAGGGAGGAAGGUACAGAGUAUCGUAAACCUCUUUUGUCAGGGAACAAAGGCGGGGACGUGUCCCCGGAUGAGUGUACCUGAAGAAAAAGCAUCGGCUAACUCCGUGCCAGCAGCCGCGGUAAUACGGAGGAUGCGAGCGUUAUCCGGAUUUAUUGGGUUUAAAGGGUGCGCAGGCGGUCUGUUAAGUCAGCGGUCAAAGCCCGGGGCUCAACCUCGCUCCGCCGUUGAAACUGGCGUUCUUGAGUGGGCGAGAAGUAUGCGGAAUGCGUGGUGUAGCGGUGAAAUGCAUAGAUAUCACGCAGAACUCCGAUUGCGAAGGCAGCAUACCGGCGCCCAACUGACGCUGAAGCACGAAAGCGUGGGUAUCGAACAGGAUUAGAUACCCCAGUA